UAGUUUUAGUGUGAAACUGCGAAUGGCUCAUUAUAUCAGUUAUAGUUUAUUUGGAUGAAUUUUUCUAUGGAUAACCGUAGUAAUUCUAGGGCUAAUACAUGUUAUAAUCUCUUUGAGAUUUUCUUAUUAGAAUAAAACCAAUUGUAUUAGUGAGUAAUAAUAAUAGAAUCGAUCGCAUGCUUUUGUAGCGAUAAUCCUUUCAAGUUUCUGCCCUAUCAGCUUUCGAUGGUAG
This 232-nucleotide ribosomal RNA is filed under the name uncultured Blastocystis sp. RNAcentral's name for it is "partial small subunit ribosomal RNA". It matches the Rfam family "Eukaryotic small subunit ribosomal RNA", at positions 71 to 331 of the family's 1831-position model. The record is from RNAcentral. Lineage: Eukaryota; Bigyra; Opalinata; Blastocystidae.